AGUACGUUACUGCUUCUGUUUCUCACAGCAGGCACCUGCAACUGUGAGGUUGGGUUAUAUCUGGAAGAGCAAUUACUUUGCUCAACAAAUAGUGGAGUAACUUCCAAUAGGGACGGACAUUUAACAUCCUGACAAUCAACAUCAGAGCAAGAGGAACAAAGAUAAACGUGAUUAUGAACUAACAAAAAUAAAAAUCCAUUUAUGAAGAGUUAGACAUCGGAAGUCUCCAAGAAUACUGAGGUUCAGAUGUCAACCAUUCAUGAUGAAAAUCUGGAGCUAUGUUCGAGUUUGCCACCUGUUUACACUUUGUGAGGGAAUAGUACUGGCCUCGCCCAAUACAAGUACUGUCGCCACAGUGGGAGAACAGAUCAUGUUCUGUGUAAAUCUCCAGGAAGAAGAUAACUAUAUGGUAGAACUUGCUAGCAC
Long non-coding RNA from Amblyraja radiata (thorny skate), 426 nucleotides. RefSeq lists it as uncharacterized. The transcript has 3 exons. NCBI's taxonomy places the organism in Eukaryota, Metazoa, Chordata, Chondrichthyes, Rajiformes, Rajidae. The record is from RefSeq and is a predicted model, not a curated record.